AUGAACGCUGGCGGCGUGCUUAACACAUGCAAGUCGAACGAUGAAGCCCAGCUUGCUGGGUGGAUUAGUGGCGAACGGGUGAGUAACACGUGAGCAACCUGCCCCUGACUCUGGGAUAAGCGCUGGAAACGGCGUCUAAUACUGGAUAUGUCCCGUCACCGCAUGGUGUGCGGGUGGAAAGAUUUUUCGGUUGGGGAUGGGCUCGCGGCCUAUCAGCUUGUUGGUGAGGUAAUUGCUCACCAAGGCGUCGACGGGUAGCCGGCCUGAGAGGGUGACCGGCCACACUGGGACUGAGACACGGCCCAGACUCCUACGGGAGGCAGCAGUGGGGAAUAUUGCACAAUGGGCGGAAGCCUGAUGCAGCAACGCCGCGUGAGGGAUGACGGCCUUCGGGUUGUAAACCUCUUUUAGCAGGGAAGAAGCGAAAGUGACGGUACCUGCAGAAAAAGCACCGGCUAACUACGUG
This 466-nucleotide ribosomal RNA is filed under the name uncultured bacterium. Its description in RNAcentral is "partial 16S ribosomal RNA". It matches the Rfam family "Bacterial small subunit ribosomal RNA", at positions 29 to 507 of the family's 1533-position model. The record is from RNAcentral.